RNAcentral lists this ribosomal RNA (2268 nucleotides) under Triticum aestivum (bread wheat). RNAcentral describes it as "partial small subunit ribosomal RNA". Lineage: Eukaryota; Viridiplantae; Streptophyta; Magnoliopsida; Poales; Poaceae. The record is from RNAcentral.
AUGCGGGCCCUCGUCUCCCCGGCCCCAGCCGCCGCCGCAUUCCUCCCGCGGACCCCGAGCCCCGGCGCGAGCCCUCGAGGGGCCACAGCGCUCUCGCGGCACCGCUCUUCUUCCGGUGGCCGCGCUGUCGCCGCCGGGGCUGCUGCCACGGGCGACCACUGGGGCGCCGACGACCAGCAGCACCACCGGGAGCAGCAGCAGUGCCGCGGUGGCGCCGGCAGGGGCGGCACCAGGCGCGCGGGGCCCAGCGUGCAGUGCGACGUGGACGUGGUGUCGUGGCGCGAGCGGCGGGUGUUCGCGUCCGUGGCGGUGGCCGCCGACGUCGACACCGUCUGGCGCAUCAUCACCGACUACGAGCGCCUCGCCGACUUCGUCCCCAACCUCGUGCACAGGUACGCGUUUCCUUCUCGUCCACCGGCCCGUCUCGGUCCCUUCUUCACCAUGGGAGCACCGUUGAAGGGUUCUGAUUUGGGGGAAAUUUCGUGCAGUGGGAGGAUCCCAUGCCCGCACGAGGGCAGGAUAUGGCUGGAGCAGAGGGGGCUGCAGCAAGCGCUCUACUGGCACAUCGAGGCGCGUGUCGUGCUCGAUCUCCGGGAGGUCCCGGAUGCCGUUGAUGGACGAGAACUCCACUUCUCCAUGGUCGAUGGCGACUUUAAGAAAUUCGAAGGGAAAUGGUCUGUCAGGGCUGGUCCAAGGUCCGCUAGUGCGAUUUUGCUGUAUGAAGUUAAUGUGAUACCACGAUUCAAUUUUCCAGCAAUAUUUCUUGAGAGGAUUAUAAGGUCGGAUCUUCCUGUGAAUCUUACAGCCUUGGCUUUCAGAUCUGAAAAAAUGUAUUUAGAAAACCAUAAAUUUGGACCUACAAAAUUUACCGGUGCAGAGUCCAAGCCACUUAACUUGCGUAGUGCAACAGUCGAGAAUGAUGUCAUAUCUUCUAGUAAGUUCAAAGAAGCGCCUGCCUCUUCCGGUUUUGGUGGUGUGCUUGCUUCACCCCCUCCUGAGUUGAAUGGGAAAUGGGGUGUAUAUGGAAGUGUCUGCAGGCUUGAUAGGCCUUGUGUGGUAGAUGAGAUCCAUCUUCGACGAUUUGAUGGCCUCUUGGAGCGUGAAGGGGCUCACAGGUGUGUUGUUGCUAGUAUCACUGUGAAAGCACCAGUUCGAGAAGUAUGGAAUGCACUAACAGCAUAUGAAAAGUUACCCGAGAUUAUACCAAACCUGGCAAUCAGUCGGAUUCUUCUUCGUGAUAAUAACAAGGUUCGAAUAUUACAGGAGGGCUGCAAAGGCCUACUUUAUAUGGUUCUUCAUGCCCGUGUUGUAAUGGAUCUUCGUGAGAAACAUGAACGUGAGAUCAGCUUUGAGCAAGUUGAGGGGGAUUUCUACUCAUUUAAAGGAAAAUGGCGCCUCGGACAGCUUGGAGAUCAGCACACACUGCUGAAGUAUAUGGUCGAGACUAAGAUGCAUAAAGAUACCUUUCUCUCAGAGUCCAUCCUUGAAGAGGUCAUAUACGAAGACCUUCCAUCAAAUUUAUGUGCAAUCCGUGAUUAUGUUGAAAAGGCAGAAGCUGAGAGAGGUAAUUCCACAAUUCACUCGGAUGCGCCAACCAAUCCAGAUACUGUUCCUUUGUGUUACACAGAAGGACGACAGUCGGAGCAAGCAUCUGUACAUUGCUCUUCAAGUUCCACGAGGCAGAGACCAAAAGUUCCUGGCCUGCAAAAGGACAUCGAGGUCCUGAAAUCCGAACUUGGUAGUUUUAUUGCAAAACAUGGUCAGAAUGGUUUCAUGCCUAAGAGAAAACAUCUUCGUACACAUGGGAGAGUUGAUAUCGAGAAGGCUAUAACACGGAUGGGUGGGUUCAGGAAGAUUGCUACCUUAAUGAAUCUUUCCCUUUCUUAUAAAAAUCGGAAACCAAGAGGUUAUUGGGAUAAUCUGGAGAACUUGGAAGAAGAGAUCAGGAGAUUCCAGAAGAACUGGGGGAUGGACCCUUCUUAUAUGCCAAGUAGAAAAUCUUUUGAGAGGGCAGGGCGCUACGACAUUGCUCGCGCCCUGGAGAAAUGGGGCGGGAUACAGGAGGUCUCCCGGCUCCUCUCGCUUGAACCAAGGCGGCCCCGGAAGCAAACGGACCCUGACGGCGAGCUGCAGCCCGAAUCGCCAAGCGCCGCCGACGCAACCAAGCACCCGAGCAGCAGCAAAGCAGACAAGGCGAGCGUGCCCCUGGACGCGCAGAAGUGGCUCCUGAAGCUCAAGGACCUGGACAUCAACUGGGUCGAGUACUGA